Molecule: ribosomal RNA, 468 nt
Filed under: uncultured bacterium
Lineage: Bacteria
Description: partial 16S ribosomal RNA
Rfam family: Bacterial small subunit ribosomal RNA
Source: RNAcentral
GACGAACGCUGGCGGCGUGCUUAACACAUGCAAGUCGAACGGAAAGGCCCUGCUUUUGUGGGGUGCUCGAGUGGCGAACGGGUGAGUAACACGUGAGUAACCUGCCCUUGACUUUGGGAUAACUUCAGGAAACUGGGGCUAAUACCGGAUAGGAGCUCCUGCUGCAUGGUGGGGGUUGGAAAGUUUCGGCGGUUGGGGAUGGACUCGCGGCUUAUCAGCUUGUUGGUGGGGUAGUGGCUUACCAAGGCUUUGACGGGUAGCCGGCCUGAGCGGGUGACCGGCCAAAUUGGGACUGGGGUUCGGCCCAGACUCCUACGGGAGGCAGCAGGGGGGAAUAUUGCACAAUGGGCGGAAGCCUGAUGGAGGAACGCCGCGUGGCGGAUGACGGCCUUCGGGUUGUAAACCGCUUUCGCCUGUGACCAAGCGUGAGUGACGGUAAUGGGUAAAGAAGCACCGGCCAACUACGUG